RNAcentral lists this ribosomal RNA (250 nucleotides) under uncultured bacterium. RNAcentral describes it as "partial 16S ribosomal RNA". It matches the Rfam family "Bacterial small subunit ribosomal RNA", at positions 524 to 772 of the family's 1533-position model. The record is from RNAcentral.
GACGUAGGGAGCGAGCGUUGUCCGGAUUUACUGGGCGUAAAGAGCACGUAGGCGGUCUGUUAAGUGAGAAGUGAAAUCUCCAGCGCUCAACGCGGAAACGGCUUUUCAUACUGGCAGACUUGAGGGAUGCAGAGGCAAGUAGAAUUCCUGGUGUACCGGUGACAUGGGUUGAUAUCAGGAGGAAUACCAAUGGCGAAGGCAGCUUGCUGGGCAUCAUCUGACGCUGAGGUGCGAAAGCGUGGGUAGCAAA